Molecule: ribosomal RNA, 524 nt
Filed under: Golbachiella hilaris
Lineage: Eukaryota; Metazoa; Arthropoda; Insecta; Hymenoptera; Ichneumonidae
Description: partial 16S large subunit ribosomal RNA
Rfam family: Archaeal large subunit ribosomal RNA (bases 385-524)
Source: RNAcentral
UCAAAAACAUGUYUUAAUGAUAAUAAUUUUAAGUCAAAUYUGCUCCAUGAUUUAAAUUAAAUAGCUGCAGAAUUUUAACUGUACAAAGGUAGCAUAAUCAAUAGUUUUUUAAUUGAAAGCUGGAAUGAAUGAUUUAAUAAAGUAAAAAGUGUCUCAAAUUUAAUAAAUUUAAAAAUUUUAUUUUAGUUAAAAUACUAAAAUAAUUUUAAAAGACGAGAAGACCCUAUAGAUUUUUAUAUUAAAAUAAAAUAAAAAAAAAUUUUUUUUUUAUUUUAAUAUUAGAUUGGGGUAAUUAUUAAAUUAAAUAAAUUUUAAUUAAUUUUAAACAAUAAUUAUUGAAUAAAUGAUCUUAAAUUUUGAAUUAUAAGAAUAAAUUACCUUAGGGAUAACAGCGUAAUUUUUUUAAAGAGAUCAUAUUGAUAAAAAAGUUUGCGACCUCGAUGUUGAAUUAAGAUAAAAUUUUAAUGAAAAAGUUAAAAAUUUUUGGUCUGUUCGACCAUUAAAAUCUUACGUGAUCUGAGUUC